CCUCCCGUGUAAGUGAUGCUAAGAAGCACAAACUGCAUUUUGAAUCUAAGUCCCUGUAUUUUCUGUGAAGGAGCUGUAAGUAGGGUGGGACAGAGAUGGCACCUGGGGGUUCUGAGGCACCCGCUCCUCUCUGAGACAGACAGGGAUCAGGAGCCGGACUGGGACCAGACCACCAGCAACACACCAGAGGAUGUUCUCUAAAUAAGACCAUGGCACUUAAGAACAUUAACUACCUUCUCAUCUUCUACCUCAGUUUCUCACUGCUUAUCUACAUAAAAAAUUCCUUUUGCAAUAAAAACAACACCAGGUGCCUCUCAAAUUCUUGCCAAAACAAUUCUACAUGCAAAGAUUUUUCAAAAGACAAUGAUUGUUCUUGUUCAGACACAGCCAAUAAUUUGGACAAAGACUGUGACAACAUGAAAGACCCUUGCUUCUCCAAUCCCUGUCAAGGAAGUGCCACUUGUGUGAACACCCCAGGAGAAAGGAGCUUUCUGUGCAAAUGUCCUCCUGGGUACAGUGGGACAAUCUGUGAAACUACCAUUGGUUCCUGUGGCAAGAACUCCUGCCAACAUGGAGGUAUUUGCCAUCAGGACCCUAUUUAUCCUGUCUGCAUCUGCCCUGCUGGAUAUGCUGGAAGAUUCUGUGAGAUAGAUCACGAUGAGUGUGCUUCCAGCCCUUGCCAAAAUGGGGCCGUGUGCCAGGAUGGAAUUGAUGGUUACUCCUGCUUCUGUGUCCCAGGAUAUCAAGGCAGACACUGCGACUUGGAAGUGGAUGAAUGUGCUUCAGAUCCCUGCAAGAACGAGGCUACAUGCCUCAAUGAAAUAGGAAGAUAUACUUGUAUCUGUCCCCACAAUUAUUCUGGUGUAAACUGUGAAUUGGAAAUUGACGAAUGUUGGUCCCAGCCUUGUUUAAAUGGUGCAACUUGUCAGGAUGCUCUGGGGGCCUAUUUCUGCGACUGUGCCCCUGGAUUCCUGGGGGAUCACUGUGAACUCAACACUGAUGAGUGUGCCAGUCAACCUUGUCUCCAUGGAGGGCUGUGUGUGGAUGGAGAAAACAGAUAUAGCUGUAACUGCACGGGUAGUGGAUUCACAGGGACACACUGUGAGACCUUGAUGCCUCUUUGUUGGUCAAAACCUUGUCACAAUAAUGCUACAUGUGAGGACAGUGUUGACAAUUACACUUGUCACUGCUGGCCUGGAUACACAGGUGCCCAGUGUGAGAUCGACCUCAAUGAAUGCAAUAGUAACCCCUGCCAGUCCAAUGGGGAAUGUGUGGAGCUGUCCUCAGAGAAACAAUAUGGACGCAUCACUGGACUGCCUUCUUCUUUCAGCUACCAUGAAGCCUCAGGUUAUGUCUGUAUCUGUCAGCCUGGAUUCACAGGAAUCCACUGCGAAGAAGACGUCAAUGAAUGUUCUUCAAACCCUUGCCAAAAUGGUGGUACUUGUGAGAACUUGCCUGGGAAUUAUACUUGCCAUUGCCCAUUUGAUAACCUUUCUAGAACUUUUUAUGGAGGAAGGGACUGUUCUGAUAUUCUCCUGGGCUGUACCCAUCAGCAAUGUCUAAAUAAUGGAACAUGCAUCCCUCACUUCCAAGAUGGCCAGCAUGGAUUCAGCUGCCUAUGUCCAUCUGGCUACACCGGGUCCCUGUGUGAAAUCGCAACCACACUUUCAUUUGAGGGCGAUGGCUUCCUGUGGGUCAAAAGUGGCUCAGUGACAACCAAGGGCUCAGUUUGUAACAUAGCCCUCAGGUUUCAGACUGUUCAGCCAAUGGCUCUUCUACUUUUCCGAAGCAACAGGGAUGUGUUUGUGAAGCUGGAGCUGCUAAGUGGCUACAUUCACUUAUCAAUUCAGGUCAAUAAUCAGUCAAAGGUGCUUCUGUUCAUUUCCCACAACACCAGCGAUGGAGAGUGGCAUUUCGUGGAGGCUGUCUCCAAGACAUUAAAAUUGAUUGGAAUCACAUUACCCUGGAGAACAUCUCGUCUGGCUCAUCAUUAAAUGUCAAGGCAGGCUGUGUGAGAAAGGAUUGGUGUGAAAGCCAACCUUGUCAAAGCAGAGGACGCUGCAUCAACUUGUGGCUGAGUUACCAGUGUGACUGCCACAGGCCCUAUGAAGGCCCCAACUGUCUGAGAGAGUAUGUGGCAGGCAGAUUUGGCCAGGAUGACUCCACUGGUUAUGUCAUCUUUACUCUUGAUGAGAGCUAUGGAGACACCAUCAGCCUCUCCAUGUUUGUCCGAACGCUUCAACCAUCAGGCUUACUUCUAGCUUUGGAAAACAGCACUUAUCAAUAUAUCCGUGUCUGGCUAGAGCGCGGCAGACUAGCAAUGCUGACUCCAAACUCUCCCAAAUUAGUAGUAAAAUUUGUUCUUAAUGAUGGAAAUGUCCACUUGAUAUCUUUGAAAAUCAAGCCAUAUAAAAUUGAACUGUAUCAGUCUUCACAAAACCUAGGAUUUAUUUCUGCUUCUACGUGGAAAAUCGAAAAGGGAGAUGUCAUCUACAUUGGUGGCCUACCUGACAAGCAAGAGACUGAACUUAAUGGUGGAUUCUUCAAAGGCUGUAUCCAAGAUGUAAGACUAAACAACCAAAAUCUGGAAUUCUUUCCAAAUCCAACAAACAAUGCAUCUCUCAAUCCAGUUCUUGUCAAUGUAACCCAAGGCUGUGCUGGAGACAACAGCUGCAAGUCCAACCCCUGUCACAAUGGAGGUGUUUGCCAUUCCCGGUGGGAUGACUUCUCCUGUUCCUGUCCUGCCCUCACAAGUGGGAAAGCCUGUGAGGAGGUUCAGUGGUGUGGAUUCAGCCCGUGUCCUCACGGAGCCCAGUGCCAGCCGGUGCUUCAAGGAUUUGAAUGUAUUGCAAAUGCUGUUUUUAAUGGACAAAGCGGUCAAAUAUUAUUCAGAAGCAAUGGGAAUAUUACCAGAGAACUCACCAAUAUCACAUUUGGUUUCAGAACAAGGGAUGCAAAUGUAAUAAUAUUGCAUGCAGAAAAAGAGCCUGAAUUUCUUAAUAUUAGCAUUCAAGAUUCCAGAUUAUUCUUUCAAUUGCAAAGUGGCAACAGCUUUUAUAUGCUAAGUCUGACAAGUUUGCAGUCAGUGAAUGAUGGCACAUGGCACGAAGUGACCCUUUCCAUGACAGACCCACUGUCCCAGACCUCCAGGUGGCAAAUGGAAGUGGACAACGAAACACCUUUUGUGACCAGCACAAUUGCUACUGGAAGCCUCAACUUUUUGAAGGAUAAUACAGAUAUUUAUGUGGGAGACAGAGCUAUUGACAAUAUAAAGGGCCUGCAAGGGUGUCUAAGUACAAUAGAAAUCGGAGGCAUUUAUCUCUCUUACUUUGAAAAUGUUCAUGGUUUCAUUAAUAAACCUCAGGAAGAGCAAUUUCUCAAAAUCUCUACCAAUUCAGUGGUCACUGGCUGUUUGCAGUUAAAUGUCUGCAACUCCAACCCCUGUUUGCAUGGAGGAAACUGUGAAGACAUCUAUAGCUCUUAUCAUUGCUCCUGUCCCUUGGGAUGGUCAGGGAAACACUGUGAACUCAACAUCGAUGAAUGCUUUUCAAACCCCUGUAUCCAUGGCAACUGCUCUGACAGAGUUGCAGCCUACCACUGCACAUGUGAGCCUGGAUACACUGGUGUGAACUGUGAAGUGGAUAUAGACAACUGCCAGAGUCACCAGUGUGCAAAUGGAGCCACCUGCAUUAGUCAUACUAAUGGCUAUUCUUGCCUCUGUUUUGGAAAUUUUACAGGAAAAUUUUGCAGACAGAGCAGAUUACCCUCAACAGUCUGUGGGAAUGAGAAGACAAAUCUCACUUGCUACAAUGGAGGCAACUGCACAGAGUUCCAGACUGAAUUAAAAUGUAUGUGCCGGCCAGGUUUUACUGGAGAAUGGUGUGAAAAGGACAUUGAUGAGUGUGCCUCUGAUCCGUGUGUCAAUGGAGGUCUGUGCCAGGACUUACUCAACAAAUUCCAGUGCCUCUGUGAUGUUGCCUUUGCUGGCGAGCGCUGCGAGGUGGACUUGGCAGAUGACUUGAUCUCCGACAUUUUCACCACUAUUGGCUCAGUGACUGUCGCCUUGUUACUGAUCCUCUUGCUGGCCAUUGUUGCUUCUGUUGUCACCUCCAACAAAAGGGCAACUCAGGGAACCUACAGCCCCAGCCGUCAGGAGAAGGAGGGCUCCCGAGUGGAAAUGUGGAACUUGAUGCCACCCCCUGCAAUGGAGAGACUGAUUUAGGAGCAUUGUGUCCCUUCGAGAUGGGGAUCCACACACUGUGAAUGUGAUGACUGUACUUCAGGUAUCUCUGACAUACCUGACAAUGUUAAUCUGCAACUGGGAUUACACUGGAACUACAGGAAUGAUUCCUUUGACCACCUUAAAAACUUUCACAGUGGUUCCGCUCGACACCAUUGUUUUAUUAUAUUAUAUCAGCCAAUUGCAAAAAAAGUCUGUGCCAGUAAUUUCAGCCUUAUAAUUAGCAAAAACAUCUUCCAGAGAAUAAAGUCUUCUGUGGCUUUAGUGGCUAUCACUGAAACUCUUUCCUCUUUUCAACCUGGGAACAAAUUUUAGUUUUCAUUUUAGGUUUCUGUACUUUCUGUAGUUUCUGUGUAAACUGCCAUAUGUUUACAUGGAAACUACAGGAAAAAAUUGGCUACAUUUCUCACUUCUCCUAUCAUGUGGUCAAAGUUAUUGUUGUAUACCAGCGAUGGGAUGUAUACUUUUGUCCUUCAUUCAUGGAUUCAGAGAAAGCUCUGGGAAUGACUUAUGGUCCAAAAAAGUGACCCAAUGGCAACAAAUAAAAAUUGAAAUGCA
Molecule: long non-coding RNA, 4798 nt
Filed under: Homo sapiens (human)
Lineage: Eukaryota; Metazoa; Chordata; Mammalia; Primates; Hominidae
Description: long non-coding RNA NONHSAT008620.2
Source: RNAcentral